This 274-nucleotide ribosomal RNA is filed under the name Pseudomonas aeruginosa. Its description in RNAcentral is "partial 16S ribosomal RNA". It matches the Rfam family "Bacterial small subunit ribosomal RNA", at positions 38 to 314 of the family's 1533-position model. Lineage: Bacteria; Pseudomonadati; Pseudomonadota; Gammaproteobacteria; Pseudomonadales; Pseudomonadaceae. The record is from RNAcentral.
GGCGGCAGGCCUAACACAUGCAAGUCGAGCGGAUGAAGGGGGCUUGCUCCUGGAUUCAGCGGCGGACGGGUGAGUAAUGCCUAGGAAUCUGCCUGGUAGUGGGGGAUAACGUCCGGAAACGGGCGCUAAUACCGCAUACGUCCUGAGGGAGAAAGUGGGGGAUCUUCGGACCUCACGCUAUCAGAUGAGCCUAGGUCGGAUUAGCUAGUUGGUGGGGUAAAGGCCUACCAAGGCGACGAUCCGUAACUGGUCUGAGAGGAUGAUCAGUCACAAU